This 252-nucleotide ribosomal RNA is filed under the name uncultured bacterium. RNAcentral describes it as "partial 16S ribosomal RNA". It matches the Rfam family "Bacterial small subunit ribosomal RNA", at positions 524 to 776 of the family's 1533-position model. The record is from RNAcentral.
UACGUAGGUGGCAAGCGUUGUCCGGAUUUAUUGGGCGUAAAGCGAGCGCAGGUGGUUUAUUAAGUCUGGUGUAAAAGGCAGUGGCUCAACCAUUGUAUGCAUUGGAAACUGGUAGACUUGAGUGCCGGAGAGGUAAGCGGAGUUCCUAGUGUAGCGGUGAAAUGCGUAGAUAUUAGGAGGAACACCAGUGGCGAAGGCGGCUUACUAGACGGCAACUGACGCUGAGGCUCGAAAGCGUGGGGAGCAAACAGG